AUCCAGCUGACGAGUCCCAACUAAGACGAAAUGCCCAUCCUGGAC
Non-coding RNA from Schistosoma margrebowiei, 45 nucleotides. Lineage: Eukaryota; Metazoa; Platyhelminthes; Trematoda; Strigeidida; Schistosomatidae. The record is from Rfam.